This is a non-coding RNA of Paramuricea clavata, 74 nucleotides long. Lineage: Eukaryota; Metazoa; Cnidaria; Anthozoa; Malacalcyonacea; Plexauridae. The record is from the annotation of a GenBank genome assembly.
GCCUCUGUAGCUCACUGGUGAGAGUGCUGCACUGGAAUCGCAGAACCACAGGUUCGAUUCUUGUUGGACUGGCC